This 22-nucleotide microRNA is filed under the name Melibe leonina. Its description in RNAcentral is "mle-miR-12097-5p". The record is from miRBase by way of RNAcentral. Lineage: Eukaryota; Metazoa; Mollusca; Gastropoda; Nudibranchia; Dendronotidae.
UGGGACUUCCUGGGUCAUUGCA